AGUGAACGCUGGCGGUAGGCCUAACACAUGCAAGUCGAACGGCAGCACAGUAAGAGCUUGCUCUUACGGGUGGCGAGUGGCGGACGGGUGAGGAAUACAUCGGAAUCUACUUUUUCGUGGGGGAUAACGUAGGGAAACUUACGCUAAUACCGCAUACGACCUACGGGUGAAAGCAGGGGAUCUUCGGACCUUGCGCGAUUGAAUGAGCCGAUGUCGGAUUAGCUAGUUGGCGGGGUAAAGGCCCACCAAGGCGACGAUCCGUAGCUGGUCUGAGAGGAUGAUCAGCCACACUGGAACUGAGACACGGUCCAGACUCCUACGGGAGGCAGCAGUGGGGACUAUUGGACAAUGGGCGCAAGCCUGAUCCAGCCAUACCGCGUGGGUGAAGAAGGCCUUCGGGUUGUAAAGCCCUUUUGUUGGGAAAGAAAAGCAGCAGGUUAAUACCCCGCUGUUCUGACGGUACCCAAAGAAUAAGCACCGGCUAACUUCGUG
Molecule: ribosomal RNA, 492 nt
Filed under: uncultured bacterium
Lineage: Bacteria
Description: partial 16S ribosomal RNA
Rfam family: Bacterial small subunit ribosomal RNA
Source: RNAcentral